RNAcentral lists this ribosomal RNA (615 nucleotides) under Stilbocrea walteri. RNAcentral's name for it is "partial large subunit ribosomal RNA". It matches the Rfam family "Eukaryotic large subunit ribosomal RNA", at positions 250 to 894 of the family's 3401-position model. Lineage: Eukaryota; Fungi; Ascomycota; Sordariomycetes; Hypocreales; Bionectriaceae. The record is from RNAcentral.
AACUCCUUCGACGAGUCGAGUAGUUUGGGAAUGCUGCUCUAAAUGGGAGGUAUACGUCUUCUAAAGCUAAAUACCGGCCAGAGACCGAUAGCGCACAAGUAGAGUGAUCGAAAGAUGAAAAGCACUUUGAAAAGAGGGUUAAAUAGUACGUGAAAUUGCUGAAAGGGAAGCGCUUAUGACCAGACUUGGGCUAGGUUAAUCAUCCGGCGUUCUCGCCGGUGCACUUUGCCUGUCCAGGCCAGCAUCAGUUCACGUCGGGGGAUAAAGGCGUCGGGAAUGUGGCUCCCUCGGGAGUGUUAUAGCCCGGCGUGUAAUACCCUGACGAGGACUGAGGUACGCGCUCCGCAAGGAUGCUGGCGUAAUGGUCAUCAGCGACCCGUCUUGAAACACGGACCAAGGAGUCGUCUUCGUAUGCGAGUGUUCGGGUGUCAAACCCCUACGCGUAAUGAAAGUGAACGUAGGAGAGAGCUUCGGCGCAUCUCCGACCGAUCCUGAUGUUCUCGGAUGGAUUUGAGUAAGAGCAUACGGGGCCGGACCCGAAAGAAGGUGAACUAUGCCUGUAUAGGGUGAAGCCAGAGGAAACUCUGGUGGAGGCUCGCAGCGGUUCUGACGUGC